GAAAACAAUUUGAAGCCAGAGAAUAAAGGUUCUCUGACAUGAAGCCACAAUUAGUUUUUACAAAAGCCCAAUAAGAGCCCAAAUAAUAUAUAUGAAAGUUGGUUAACUCUCUCCAUAUAAAUGACACAUCAUCACACAACAAAGUGACAUAUGUUAUUUGAUGUUUUUCAAA
This 172-nucleotide small RNA is filed under the name Arabidopsis thaliana (thale cress). RNAcentral describes it as "ATSL079500". The record is from RNAcentral. Lineage: Eukaryota; Viridiplantae; Streptophyta; Magnoliopsida; Brassicales; Brassicaceae.